CAGUGGCAAAGCGUUUGUGUUUCAAUCCUUGGAACUCCAAGUGGGACUUCUUAAAAGAUUUAUAAGGAACAAAGAUGUCAGGAAAGCAGAAAUACACACGGACUCCAUGACUAGAAAAACCUCGUGGUGGCCUGCUCUCCGGUGCUUGGAAGUGUGCUAGUUACAUCUUGGAGAAUGGAGUGAUGGAGCACUGAGCUGCUGUGAGGAGGGAAGGAUCAUCAGAGAGAGACCUUACAGGGCAGAGGGCCUGGGACCAGCAACAGUACCGUUCCACAUCCGAGCACGGGUCGUGAGUUGGCAGUGGCUUCACCACAGCUGUUCAUCGGUAGCUCUGGCUGAAAUAAGGUGCCUGAUUUUCUUAACUCCACCCUGCUGAGAAGAUGCCCUCCAGGAGGCUGUGCUUGCAGACUCCACGGAGCCUCUCUCAAGAUUUCCUGAACCUUGUGGAUUUACAGUAAGACGAAGUUCCCUGGGGAGUAAUUCUGGUGGAUGCAAAUUCUGGAGUAAUACACCUGGCCUGCCUAGAGAUGUUACAAGUGGCCUAAUGGAUUUUUCUAGCCUGGACGCCCACUGGGGACAAGGAUCAUUACUGACAGGAUUGUAUCUCUACCCUUGACUCCAUGGGAAUAUUUGGUCUGCUCUCUCGGGCUCCCUCUAAAAUCCCUAGCUGUCCUGAAAUGAGCUCCCAAGACUAGGCUGGUUUGGAACUCACAGAACUCCAGGCUGCCUCUGAGAGCAAAGGCACGCACCAUCACAUGCACUCA
This 764-nucleotide long non-coding RNA is filed under the name Rattus norvegicus (Norway rat). Its description in RNAcentral is "long non-coding RNA NONRATT025987". The stretch from base 384 to 477 matches the Rfam family "Pvt1 oncogene conserved region 3". Lineage: Eukaryota; Metazoa; Chordata; Mammalia; Rodentia; Muridae. The record is from RNAcentral.